RNAcentral lists this ribosomal RNA (434 nucleotides) under uncultured bacterium. RNAcentral's name for it is "bacterial SSU rRNA". It matches the Rfam family "Bacterial small subunit ribosomal RNA", at positions 958 to 1392 of the family's 1533-position model. The record is from RNAcentral.
AACGCGAAGAACCUUACCUAGUCUUGACAUCCCGAUGACCGUACCGUAAUGGGUACUUCUCUUCGGAGCAUCGGAGACAGGUGGUGCAUGGUUGUCGUCAGCUCGUGUCGUGAGAUGUUGGGUUAAGUCCCGCAACGAGCGCAACCCUUAUCUUUAGUAGCCAGCAUUUCGGAUGGGCACUCUAGAGAGACUGCCAGGGAUAACCUGGAGGAAGGUGGGGAUGACGUCAAAUCAUCAUGCCCCUUAUGACUAGGGCUACACACGUGCUACAAUGGCGUAAACAAAGGGAAGCAACCCUGUGAAGGUAAGCAAAUCCCAAAAAUAACGUCUCAGUUCGGAUUGUAGUCUGCAACUCGACUACAUGAAGCUGGAAUCGCUAGUAAUCGCGAAUCAGAAUGUCGCGGUGAAUACGUUCCCGGGUCUUGUACACACCG